UAGAAUGCAUCCAAGGAAGUAGAUCAAUUU
Molecule: non-coding RNA, 30 nt
Filed under: Homo sapiens (human)
Lineage: Eukaryota; Metazoa; Chordata; Mammalia; Primates; Hominidae
Source: RNAcentral